GACGAACGCUGGCGGCGUGGAUUAGGCAUGCAAGUCGAACGGUAUCAUCCUUUCGGGGGUGAGAGAGUGGCGAACUGGUGAGUAACACGUAGGUUAUCUACCCUCAAGACGGGGACAACCCAGGGAAACUUGGGCUAAUACCGGAUGUGAGCAACUUUUAGUUGUUUGAAAGGUGGCGUAAGCUGUCGCUUGGGGAUGAGCCUGCGUCCUAUUAGUUAGUUGGUGAGGUAACGGCUCACCUAGGCAAUGAUAGGUAGGCGGCCUUAACGGGUGGUCGCCCACACUGGGAUUGAGAUACGGCCCAGACUCCUACGGGAGGCAGCAGUCGAGAAUAGUCUACAAUGGUCGGAAGACUGAUAGUGCGACGCCGCGUGAACGAUGAAUCCCGUUCGGGGGUGUAAAGUUUCUUUUAUAUGUGAGCAGUGCUUCUUAUAUUAACAGUAUGGGGAAGAGAUAUUAGCAUAUGAAUAAGCAACGGCUAACUCCGUGCCAGCAGCCGAGGUAAAA
RNAcentral lists this ribosomal RNA (507 nucleotides) under uncultured bacterium. RNAcentral describes it as "bacterial SSU rRNA". It matches the Rfam family "Bacterial small subunit ribosomal RNA", at positions 28 to 525 of the family's 1533-position model. The record is from RNAcentral.